This 399-nucleotide ribosomal RNA is filed under the name uncultured Lactobacillus sp. RNAcentral describes it as "bacterial SSU rRNA". It matches the Rfam family "Bacterial small subunit ribosomal RNA", at positions 64 to 446 of the family's 1533-position model. Lineage: Bacteria; Bacillati; Bacillota; Bacilli; Lactobacillales; Lactobacillaceae. The record is from RNAcentral.
AAACUAACAGAUUUACUUCGGUAAUGACGUUAGGAAAGCGAGCGGCGGAUGGGUGAGUAACACGUGGGGAACCUGCCCCAUAGUCUGGGAUACCACUUGGAAACAGGUGCUAAUACCGGAUAAGAAAGCAGAUCGCAUGAUCAGCUUUUAAAAGGCGGCGUAAGCUGUCGCUAUGGGAUGGCCCCGCGGUGCAUUAGCUAGUUGGUAAGGUAAAGGCUUACCAAGGCGAUGAUGCAUAGCCGAGUUGAGAGACUGAUCGGCCACAUUGGGAUUGAGACACGGCCCAAACUCCUACGGGAGGCAGCAGUAGGGAAUCUUCCACAAUGGACGCAAGUCUGAUGGAGCAACGCCGCGUGAGUGAAGAAGGUUUUCGGAUCGUAAAGCUCUGUUGUUGGUGAA